This 164-nucleotide small nuclear RNA is filed under the name Salmo salar (Atlantic salmon). RNAcentral's name for it is "U1 spliceosomal RNA (ENSSSAG00000112019.1)". It matches the Rfam family "U1 spliceosomal RNA". Rfam says of the family: U1 is a small nuclear RNA (snRNA) component of the spliceosome (involved in pre-mRNA splicing). Its 5' end forms complementary base pairs with the 5' splice junction, thus defining the 5' donor site of an intron. There are significant differences in sequence and secondary structure between metazoan and yeast U1 snRNAs, the latter being much longer (568 nucleotides as compared to 164 nucleotides in human). The record is from Rfam by way of RNAcentral. Lineage: Eukaryota; Metazoa; Chordata; Actinopteri; Salmoniformes; Salmonidae.
AUACUUACCUGGCAAGGGAGACACCGUGAUCAAGAAGGCGGUUCACCCAGGGCGAGGCUCAGCCAUUACACUCCGGCUGUGCUGACCCCUGCAAAUUUCCCAAAUGUGGAUAUCUCGAUUGCAUAAUUUCUGGUAGUGGGGGACUGCGUUCGCGCUCUCCCCUG